Belonocnema kinseyi is the source of this 546-nucleotide long non-coding RNA. RefSeq lists it as uncharacterized. The transcript has 2 exons. Lineage: Eukaryota; Metazoa; Arthropoda; Insecta; Hymenoptera; Cynipidae. The record is from RefSeq and is a predicted model, not a curated record.
UUUUUUAGAAUGCUGCGUGGCUGUUCUGUGCAAUCGUCAAAGGAAAUAGAAAACUUUUAGUUUUUUUAUUAUUUAGGUUAGGGAAUGAAGAAGGAAUAACAUGAAAAAACACUCCUGUAUAAAUUUUGGAUUGGCUUACUUUGAAAUAUCGUUCUGGCAUCGGCAACUGAAGUUAAAUUUGUCGACUAUCGUUCACCUAUAAUUUACAUACAACAUAAAGAAAAUGCCGUUUUCAAAGUCUAUUGCAACCAUACUUGUGGUGGUACAAGCACUAAUUUAUGCCAUUGCUGAUGACAGACAAUUUUGUACUCCAUGUUGUAUUGAGUUGGAACAGUGUAUUGGAAUUAAUUCUACAGGCACUUGUUGCCCUCAAUUCAUAUGUGACCCACACUACGCUCAAGGAAAUGUCGGAAUUUGUAAUCCUGCAAAAGCACCUAAACCACCUAAACCACCUGUCGCACCCGCAUAACCUGCACCACUUGCAUUAUAAAGAUAUAAUAAUAUAAUUAUUCAAUCAUUAAAGAAAAUAAAAACUCACUAAACAAA